CAUGGAUGAUCUCAUAAAGUUAGAGGGUUACUCACAGGAUUUAAGCUAAGCUCUGAGAGGAUAAUUGAUUACUCACCCCGAAUAUCCAUAUUACUGCCAAUAUCGCGCUCCCCUCCAUCACAGCUUCAGCGCGGAAAUUAAAUUCUAUUUCGGGACAGGAUGUUAUCAAACAGCAAUUAUGUUAUCAGAUGGGGAGUCGAUUAGAUAAUAUAACGAGAGUUCUUUAUAUAAAACAUAAAGUUUGAAACUGGUGUAAUAGGCUAAACUUGUCUCCCUACAGUCUUCUUCCUGAGCGAGUUAGAGAUCACCCAAGUGGAGAUUAGGCCAUCUGUGGUCUGAGAUGUGUGCUUGGUUAGGCUAUCUGUGGUCUGAGAUGGGUGCGUGGUUAGGCUAUCUGUGGUCUGAGAUGGGUGCGUGGUUAGGCUAUCUGUGGUCUGAGAUGGGUGCGUGGUUAGGCUAUCUGUGGUCUGAGAUGGGUGCGUGGUUAGGCUAUCUGUGGUCUGAGAUGGGUGCGUGGUUAGGCUAUCUGUGGUCUGAGGUGUGUGCGUGGUUAGGCUAUCUGUGGUCUGAGAUGGGUGCUUGGCCA
Molecule: long non-coding RNA, 586 nt
Organism: Clupea harengus (Atlantic herring)
Lineage: Eukaryota; Metazoa; Chordata; Actinopteri; Clupeiformes; Clupeidae
Source: Ensembl